UACGAAGGGUGCAAGCGUUACUCGGAAUUACUGGGCGUAAAGCGUGCGCAGGCGGUUUUGUAAGCCAGAUGUGAAAGCCCCGGGCUCAACCUGGGAAUGGCAUUUGGGACUGCAAGGCUUGAGUGCGGCAGAGGAGACUGGAAUUCCUGGUGUAGCAGUGAAAUGCGUAGAUAUCAGGAGGAAUACCGAUGGCGAAGGCGCCACUCUGGGCCGAAACUGACGCUGAGGAGCGAAAGCGUGGGUAGCAAACAGG
This 253-nucleotide ribosomal RNA is filed under the name uncultured bacterium. RNAcentral's name for it is "partial 16S ribosomal RNA". It matches the Rfam family "Bacterial small subunit ribosomal RNA", at positions 524 to 776 of the family's 1533-position model. The record is from RNAcentral.